Molecule: ribosomal RNA, 310 nt
Filed under: uncultured soil bacterium
Lineage: Bacteria
Description: bacterial SSU rRNA
Rfam family: Bacterial small subunit ribosomal RNA
Source: RNAcentral
AGAACGAACGCUGGCGGCAUGCCUAAUACAUGCAAGUCGAACGAACUCUUCGGAGUUAGUGGCGCACGGGUGCGUAACGCGUGGGAAUCUGCCCCUUGGUUCGGAAUAACAGUUGGAAACGACUGCUAAUACCGGAUGAUGACGAAAGUCCAAAGAUUUAUCGCCAAGGGAUGAGCCCGCGUAGGAUUAGCUAGUUGGUGAGGUAAAGGCUCACCAAGGCAACGAUCCUUAGCUGGUCUGAGAGGAUGAUCAGCCACACUGGGACUGAGACACGGCCCAGACUCCGUACGGGAGCAGCAGGUAGGGAAUA